UGGUUCUGGCAUCGAUGAAGAACGCAGCGAAAUGCGAUAAGUAAUGCGAAUUGCAGAAUCCGUGAGUCAUCGAAUCUUUGAACGCACAUUGCGCCCCUUGGUAUUCCGAGGGGCAUGCCUGUUCGAGCGUCAUUAUCACCCCUCAAACUUCGGUUUGGUGUUGGACUUAGUUAUACUUUGGUGUGACUGGUCUCAAAGAUAGUGACGGCGUCCGAGAAGGAACCGGUACGAGGAGUUUUUCAUUAAACAUGUACGCGGCAGGAUUCUCGGGCGGCGGUCUUUAUACUUAUAAUUAUACAAGUGUUGACCUCGGAUCAGGUAGGAAUACCCGCUGA
RNAcentral lists this unclassified non-coding RNA (335 nucleotides) under uncultured fungus. RNAcentral's name for it is "partial contains 5.8S ribosomal RNA and internal transcribed spacer 2". The stretch from base 1 to 132 matches the Rfam family "5.8S ribosomal RNA", at positions 22 to 154 of the family's 154-position model. Lineage: Eukaryota; Fungi. The record is from RNAcentral.